UACGGAGGAUUCGAGCGUUAUCCGGAUUUAUUGGGUUUAAAGGGAGCGUAGGCGGGUUGUUAAGUCAGUUGUGAAAGUUUGCGGCUCAACCGUGAAAUUGCAGUUGAUACUGGCAUCCUUGAGUACAGUAGAGGUAGGCGGAAUUCGUGGUGUAGCGGUGAAAUGCUUAGAUAUCACGAAGAACUCCGAUUGCGAAGGCAGCCUGCUGGACUGUAACUGACGCUGAUGCUCGAAAGUGUGGGUAUCAAACAGG
RNAcentral lists this ribosomal RNA (253 nucleotides) under uncultured bacterium. RNAcentral describes it as "partial 16S ribosomal RNA". It matches the Rfam family "Bacterial small subunit ribosomal RNA", at positions 524 to 776 of the family's 1533-position model. The record is from RNAcentral.